This 892-nucleotide long non-coding RNA is filed under the name Marmota monax (woodchuck). Lineage: Eukaryota; Metazoa; Chordata; Mammalia; Rodentia; Sciuridae. The record is from RNAcentral.
CUUUAGGGCCUGGUUUCUGCAUCCCAACAGAUGACAAUAACAUUUCAAACAACCACAUGAAAUGGCGUUGUUAAAAUCCCAUCUUUGUGAUACUUAGCCAUUGUCAUGGUACUUCCUCUUCAUGCUUUUGCAUUUCACAAGAAGAUACUAAUUCCAUUUGAAAAGUAGAUGGAUACUGAUGAGUGCAGGAUGGAAAAUAAAAAUGCAUCAGCUGGCCUCUGCUCGCUUACCUGCCCCUGGUUAGGUUCCUCCGGCUCAGUGUGUUCACCAGGCAACCAGCCUGAGAUCAUCGCCUGGGAGCAGUUUUCUGAUUACCUAAGUUCCUACCACUGCUUUGGCAUAUUGGACUCAAUGAACAUUACUUUCAAAAUAACAAAACUUGAGUUGAACCAUGACAGCAGCAAACGUCUCACUCAGUGCCAAUUUCUUUGUCCUCUAGAUUGCUGUCUCCUCCGGGACAAGCCUAUUCACUGAUAGGCAUGUCCCCAGCACUUGGGGCAGGACAGAUGUUCUGUUCCAGCCACCACUAGCCCCCAGGCCCCUGCCUGUAAGUCAGGAAAAGUUUCCUGUCGGGUGGAUCAUAGCCCCUCUCCCCUCUGCAAGACGCUGGCUGCCAAGCUCAGCCCUCACAGGCACUGAGACCCCUGACUCUCAGGACUGCACCCAGCUCACAAGAAGACCGAUGUCCUCCAUCCCUGCCUGGGCCUGUACAGUUGGUUCUCAAUCAGCUGGCCACGCUCUCUGCAGUCAGUGGUCACCAGCAGGGCUUAACUUGCCUCCACGUCCCUGAUUUUAAAGGCCUCCCCAGGGACUUAGACUUGUAAGCAGGGACCAUGGUGGAUGGUAGGAAGCAUGGCAUCAGCCGAGACUCCGAGUCAGGCGGCAGUGCAGG